RNAcentral lists this ribosomal RNA (978 nucleotides) under Halobacillus sp. NCCP-986. RNAcentral describes it as "bacterial SSU rRNA". It matches the Rfam family "Bacterial small subunit ribosomal RNA", at positions 37 to 998 of the family's 1533-position model. The record is from RNAcentral. Lineage: Bacteria; Bacillati; Bacillota; Bacilli; Caryophanales; Bacillaceae.
UGGCAGUUCGAGCGCGGGAAGCGAGCUGAUCCCUUCGGGGUGACGCUCGUGGAACGAGCGGCGGACGGGUGAGUAACACGUGGGCAACCUGCCUGUAAGAUCGGGAUAACUCCGGGAAACCGGGGCUAAUACCGGGUAAUACUUUCUUUCGCAUGAAGGAAAGUUGAAAGAUGGCUUCUCGCUAUCACUUACAGAUGGGCCCGCGGCGCAUUAGCUAGUUGGUGAGGUAACGGCUCACCAAGGCGACGAUGCGUAGCCGACCUGAGAGGGUGAUCGGCCACACUGGGACUGAGACACGGCCCAGACUCCUACGGGAGGCAGCAGUAGGGAAUCUUCCGCAAUGGACGAAAGUCUGACGGAGCAACGCCGCGUGAACGAUGAAGGUCUUCGGAUCGUAAAGUUCUGUUGUUAGGGAAGAACAAGUACCGUGCGAAUAGAGCGGUACCUUGACGGUACCUAACGAGGAAGCCCCGGCUAACUACGUGCCAGCAGCCGCGGUAAUACGUAGGGGGCAAGCGUUGUCCGGAAUUAUUGGGCGUAAAGCGCGCGCAGGCGGUUCCUUAAGUCUGAUGUGAAAGCCCACGGCUCAACCGUGGAGGGUCAUUGGAAACUGGGGAACUUGAGGACAGAAGAGGAGAGUGGAAUUCCACGUGUAGCGGUGAAAUGCGUAGAUAUGUGGAGGAACACCAGUGGCGAAGGCGACUCUCUGGUCUGUUUCUGACGCUGAGGUGCGAAAGCGUGGGUAGCAAACAGGAUUAGAUACCCUGGUAGUCCACGCCGUAAACGAUGAGUGCUAGGUGUUAGGGGGCUUCCACCCCUUAGUGCUGAAGUUAACGCAUUAAGCACUCCGCCUGGGGGAGUACGGCCGCAAGGCUGAAACUCAAAGGAAUUGACGGGGGCCGCACAAGCGGUGGAGCAUGUGGGUUUAAUUCGAAGCAACGCGAAGAACCUUACCAGGUCUUGACAUCCUUGGACUCC